This 518-nucleotide ribosomal RNA is filed under the name uncultured bacterium. Its description in RNAcentral is "bacterial SSU rRNA". It matches the Rfam family "Bacterial small subunit ribosomal RNA", at positions 8 to 518 of the family's 1533-position model. The record is from RNAcentral.
AGGGUUCGAUCUGGCUCAGAACGACGCUGGCGGCGCGUUUAAGCAUGCAAGUCGAGCGGCAAGGGCCUUCGGGCCCCUAGAGCGGCGGACGGGUGAGUAACACGUGGACAAUCUGCCCCCCGGCCCGGGAUAGCCCAGGGAAACCUGGAUUAAUACCGGAUGAGACGGGACCCGCGAUGGCGGGACCCGGGAAAGGCGCUGCGGCGCCGCCGGGGGAUGAGUCUGCGUCCCAUUAGCUAGACGGCGGGGUAACGGCCCACCGUGGCGACGAUGGGUAGCCGGCCUGAGAGGGUGGACGGCCACAUUGGAACUGAGACACGGUCCAGACUCCUACGGGAGGCAGCAGCUAAGAAUCUUCCGCAAUGGGCGAAAGCCUGACGGAGCGACGCCCGCGUGAACGAAGAAGGCCGUGAGGUUGUAAAGUUCUUUUCGGGAGGGGGAACAACCGUGGCAGGGAAUGGCCGCGGGAUGACGUGAAUCCCGGAAUAAGCCCCGGCUAACUACGUGCCAGCCGCAGC